CGUUUCUAUAUUACUUCUGUUAAGGGAAGCGAAAAGGAACUAGAGGUAGAGGUUUUAAAUUUCAUUUACAGGAUCAUAGUGCAUAGACAUAUUUGGUUUAAAUGUGUUCAUUUGCUUUCGGAUCUACCCUUCUUUUUCAAGGUAAUUAGAUCUUCCAAAAUUAAAUCUAAAAUUUUCCUUUUUAUUGAUUUUGGGUCUGAAUUAAUUAUGGUAUAGCUUUAGUUGAUUUUGUCUAGUGUAAUACAUGUCUACACUGGUUAAUUAUGUUGUUGUUCUCUCUGUUUUCCAGAUUUG
RNAcentral lists this unclassified non-coding RNA (294 nucleotides) under Hevea brasiliensis (rubber tree). The record is from RNAcentral. Lineage: Eukaryota; Viridiplantae; Streptophyta; Magnoliopsida; Malpighiales; Euphorbiaceae.